RNAcentral lists this transfer RNA (77 nucleotides) under Segatella copri. RNAcentral's name for it is "Prevotella copri tRNA-Arg". It matches the Rfam family "tRNA". From Rfam's summary of the family: Transfer RNA (tRNA) molecules are approximately 80 nucleotides in length. Their secondary structure includes four short double-helical elements and three loops (D, anti-codon, and T loops). Further hydrogen bonds mediate the characteristic L-shaped molecular structure. tRNAs have two regions of fundamental functional importance: the anti-codon, which is responsible for specific mRNA codon recognition, and the 3' end, to which the tRNAs corresponding amino acid is attached (by aminoacyl-tRNA synthetases). tRNAs cope with the degeneracy of the genetic code in two manners: having more than one tRNA (with a specific anti-codon) for a particular amino acid; and 'wobble' base-pairing, i.e. permitting non-standard base-pairing at the 3rd anti-codon position. Lineage: Bacteria; Pseudomonadati; Bacteroidota; Bacteroidia; Bacteroidales; Prevotellaceae. The record is from RNAcentral.
GGCUCCGUAGCUCAACUGAAUAGAGCACUUGACUACGGAUCAAGAGGUUCAAGGUUUGAAUCCUUGCGGAGACACCA